This 433-nucleotide ribosomal RNA is filed under the name uncultured bacterium. RNAcentral describes it as "partial 16S ribosomal RNA". It matches the Rfam family "Bacterial small subunit ribosomal RNA", at positions 29 to 507 of the family's 1533-position model. The record is from RNAcentral.
AACGAACGCUGGCGGCAUGCCUAACACAUGCAAGUCGAACGAGACCUUCGGGUCUAGUGGCGCACGGGUGCGUAACGCGUGGGAACCUGCCCUUAGGUUCGGAAUAACUCCCCGAAAGGGGUGCUAAUACCGGAUAAUGUCUUCGGACCAAAGAUUUAUCGCCUUUGGAUGGGCCCGCGUUGGAUUAGCUAGUUGGUAGGGUAAAAGCCUACCAAGGCGACGAUCCAUAGCUGGUCUGAGAGGAUGAUCAGCCACACUGGGACUGAGACACGGCCCAGACUCCUACGGGAGGGAGCAGUGGGGAAUAUUGGACAAUGAGCGAAAGCCUGAUACAGCAAUGCCGCGUGAGUGAUGAAGGCGUUAGGAUUGUAAAGCUCUUUUACCCGGGAUGAUAAUGACGGUACCGGGAGAAUAAGCACCGGCUAACUACGUG